AUGAGAGUGUGUUUGGACUCAAAAAAAAAAAAUCCGCAGCCAUUCUCGAUCGAGCGCCCGCCCCCUCACGACACCCGCACCCCUACUCCUCGCUCGAUACAUUCCACACGCGCGCGCACACGUACACGGUACACCAAUCGCAAUCGACUCGCGCGCGCGCACGCUCGCUUCUCGCUCCACAAAUCAAGAGCCAAGCACCACGCUGGUUCCCGCCCAUCUCAUUCCCAUUUGUCCAUCCAUCGCGCACCUCCAGCAGCCUGCCCGCCCGCCCGUAUGUGCCUGCUGCUCUCUGGCAGCACCAGCGGACCAGCCAGCAUGAGCAGGAUCCACCCUUCCGAUCGCGGCGACGGCGCCCGCCGCGCGGCGCGGACGGCCGCGGCGGCGGAGCGGGAGCGGCAGCAGCCAGCUGUGUACACGGUGUGGAAGAGGUCCAGCAUGGGGUUCCAGGGCACCGACGGCUUCUCCGUCUACGACGCCGCCGGGAGGCUCGCCUUCCGCGUCGACAACUACGCCCGCCGCCCCAAGGCCUUCGCCGGCGAGCUGCUGCUCAUGGACGGCCGCGGCGCCCCUCUCCUCUCCCUCAGGCCGCAGAUCUUCAGCCUGCACGACCGAUGGAACUGCUACAGAGUUGCACCGGGAGAAGAAGGUUGCCCGGAGACGGACAAGAGCUCCUCCGCGCAGCAGCUCUUCUCCAUGCGGAAGUGCGCCGCUCUGCAGAGCACGGACGACGCAGAGGUCCACAUGUCAACGACCUCGGCGGCGACGACGUCAGGGCGCGGCUGCCGGGCUCCGCCGUCCCCUCCUUCCGGCUACCGCGUGGAGGGCUGCUUCUCCAGGAGGAGCUGCAAGAUCACCAGGAGCGACGGCCAGGAGGCGGCACGGAUACUGAGGAAGAAAGCCGGUGGACCUACGGCGGCGGCGGCGUCGUCGUCCAGGCCCGUCGCUCUCGGCGACGACGUGUUCAGCCUGGUCGUUCGGCCGGGCGUGGACGCCGCCACGGUCAUGGCUAUUGUCGUUGUCAUGGACCGGAUCUGCCGGAAGCCCUACGCACCAAUGGCGUGCUCUGCACAGUAA
RNAcentral lists this ribosomal RNA (1074 nucleotides) under Triticum aestivum (bread wheat). RNAcentral's name for it is "partial small subunit ribosomal RNA". Lineage: Eukaryota; Viridiplantae; Streptophyta; Magnoliopsida; Poales; Poaceae. The record is from RNAcentral.